UCAAUAUAAAUUGAUUUAUAUUAAUUUAUUUAAAUUAAUUAUAUAUAUAUAUAUAUAUAUAUAUAUAUAUAUAUUAAAAAUAAUUAUUUAAUUAAUUGUUUUAUUAUUUUAUAAAUAAAUAAUAUUUUUAUUAAAGUUAAUUAGUAUUGUAAAUUAAAAUUGAAUUAAUUUGAAAUUUAUUAUUAUAAAAGAAAAUUUGAUUUAUUGUACCUUGUGUAUCAGGGUUUAUUAAUUAUUAAUUAUUUAUUUAAAUUUUUCGAUUUUAAAAGAGUUAAUAUAUUAUUAAAUUUAUUGUUAUAAAAUUAUUUUAAAUAGUAUAUUAGAAAUGAAAUGUUAUUCGUUUUUAAAGGUAUCUAAUUUUUUAAGAAUUAAAUUGAAUUUAUUAAUUAUAAAUUAUUAAUUUAAAUAGAUUAAUUUAAUAAUUUUUUAAUUAAAAUAUUUUAUGGGAUAAGCUAUUUAAUAUAUUUUUAAAAUUAUAAUUUAGUUAUACAAAUAUAAAUUUAAAAAUAGUUAUUAUUAAAAAAAAUGUUAUAAAUUAUUUUGUUAAUAAUAUUAUUUAUUAUAUAAAUUAAAUAUUUAUUAAAAUAUUUAUUUUAAUUUUAAUAUUAAAUAUUUUAUAAUUUAAUUAGUAUAUAAUAAUUUAAUUAAUAAGGAAAUUACUUAAAGGUUUUAAUAAAGAAUUCGGCAAUAAAAAUAUUCGCCUGUUUAACAAAAACAUGUCUUUAUGAUUAUUUUUAUUAAGUCUGACCUGCCCACUGAAAUUAUUUAAAUGGCCGCAGUAUAUUAACUGUGCAAAGGUAGCAUAAUCAUUAGUUUUUUAAUUGAAAGCUGGAAUGAAUGGUCGAACGAAAUAUUAACUGUUUCAUUAAAAUUUUUAUUAGAAAUUUAUUUUUUAGUUAAAAAGCUUAAAUAAAUUUAAAAGACGAGAAGACCCUAUAAAUCUUUAUAUUUAAAUUUAUAUAAAUUAUUUAAUUUUUUUUAUUUUAUAUUAAUUAUAAUAUUUUGUUGGGGUGAUAUUAAAAUUUAAAAAACUUUUAAUUUUUUUUUCAUUAAUUAAUGAAUUUAUGAUCUAUUAUUAAUUAUUAAAAAAUUAAGUUACUUUAGGGAUAACAGCGUAAUUUUUUUGGAGAGUUCUUAUCGAUAAAAUAGAUUGCGACCUCGAUGUUGGAUUAAGAAAAUUUUUGGGUGUAGUUGUUUAAAUUUUAAGUCUGUUCGACUUUUAAAUUCUUACAUGAUCUGAGUUCAAACCGGUG
This 1253-nucleotide ribosomal RNA is filed under the name Metadrinomyia flavifrons. Its description in RNAcentral is "partial 16S ribosomal RNA". Lineage: Eukaryota; Metazoa; Arthropoda; Insecta; Diptera; Tachinidae. The record is from RNAcentral.